This is an RNA transcript of Egretta garzetta (little egret), 1302 nucleotides long. It is a transcript of the gene named mitochondrial ribosomal protein L33, with no coding region annotated. Lineage: Eukaryota; Metazoa; Chordata; Aves; Pelecaniformes; Ardeidae. The transcript is spliced from 4 exons. The record is from RefSeq and is a predicted model, not a curated record.
GCUGCCCUGGUCUGGUUCACUGUGUGGCCGCACAAACCUUUGUGUUGGCAUUGGGGCAGGAACUGGAGCAGGAGUAGGUGUAAGCAAGUAGGGGAGAGUGGGACUGCUGUUUUCACCAGCAGUGUUAGUUCAUACCUGCCUUAACUGCAUAUUCAUCUAGUGAAUUCAUAUGCAGCAUUGAAACUUUAUAUUGAAAACGUCUGGAGGCUGCCACAAGUGCACUCUAUCGUGCUAGCCACUGUGUUUGCAGAGGCGCUUAUAAAGGCGGUAUGGUGGAAGAAAGAGCAGGCAACUGGGAGCACAUAGAUGGAAGGAUGAGCGGCAUUUUUUUGUGACAGUAACUCUCUUUGCACAAUCUAUCUGGGGCUACUGGAAAGGCAGGCAGUGGAAAACUCUUAAUCUUUGAAUGUUGCAUAUAAAGGAAACAAGAUAAAAUGAUAACUGUGUCUUCUUUUUUUCCUCCUCUUCAUGCUGCAAAAAAAAAAAACAAACCAGUGGCCAAGAGCAAAUCUAAAUACAUUCUGGUGAGGAUGAAAAGUGCGGCUGAGACAGGCUACUGUUUCAACGUCAGGAGACUCCGACUGCAGGAGAAACUGGUCCUGCUCAAAUACGAUCCCAUUGCAAAAAAACGUGUCCUCUUCACAGAGAAGAGAAAAAUCCGCUCUAUCUGAACAAUGAUUGGACUUGAUUUAUGCAUGAGGAGAGGAUGAUUUAGGGGGAGGACAGGGUGAACGCUGAUUCAGAAAUCCUGCAACAUGGGCUGAAAAGAGAGGAAAUGAACUGGGAUCACCGUCUCCUGUGAUUUGAAGGCCAUUGUGAAUAAACAAUGUAGAGGGAGAAAAUUCUUAAUGUCUGGACAUAGAUCAUCACAGUAACAUUUAUUUAUCUUUUGAGUUAUUUUUACAGUACUCAAUUAAAAAAAAAAUUAAAUAGCAAAUCCCAUUGUCUGUGUUUUCCAUUGUGAAAGAAGCUGUAAUCUUCAAAGGACCCAUUGUUUUAUAAGGCAAUAAAAAUUAACAUUUUCCACAGCAGCAGGAGCGCAGUUUUUUCUACCCUCCCAGCCACAGCUUCAACAGUAGUGACCACGAAUGGGUGUCAUUCCUGGCGGGGUAGUGUUGCACCAGCUGCUUCCUAGGAAAGGAAAAAGCAAGGGGAACCUGGUGAAAUAAGAUGAGCUUUUGGAUAAGCUGUGACCACGGCUCGAAGGGCUGUAUUAUUUACAGUAAGUAAAUGUUCAAGGGACCUUCCACAGCGGCAGAACCGCAGAGUGCCGCAGCCCGCAUCGGAAGCGCAUGGGAACAG